UUUUGAAGUCAUAGACCACACCGGCAAUCCUGCGCAUUUGACCCAUGGUUGAAACAAAUCGGUCGCCCAGCAGUCGACAUGGUUUCCUGUCAAAGCCAAAGAAACCACCAAUGGCGGCCCAAAUUACAUUUUGCACUUCCAAAUCUAUCCAGUAAGCACCUACAAGACCUUCAACCAGCUAAAUGUCAUGGUGGAAGGGGAAGGAUGGAUGACUCGAGUCAUGAGAAACAUGGAGAAUCAAGUAGAUUUAUGGGGACCAAUGUCACCAGCUUGAAUCUCUUGAUGAUAUAAGCAACACUCAUUCCAUGAACUAAGUAUACUGACGACAUUAUUAAUCCAGGAACAAGGCAAAUAUUUGUAUCGUGCAACUGUCGAUCGGCAUAUGACCAAUGG
This is a long non-coding RNA of Papaver somniferum (opium poppy), 393 nucleotides long. RefSeq lists it as uncharacterized. Lineage: Eukaryota; Viridiplantae; Streptophyta; Magnoliopsida; Ranunculales; Papaveraceae. The transcript is spliced from 3 exons. The record is from RefSeq and is a predicted model, not a curated record.